GACGAACGCUGGCGGCGUGCCUAAUACAUGCAAGUAGAACGCUGAAGGAGGAGCUUGCUCUUCUGGAUGAGUUGCGAACGGGUGAGUAACGCGUAGGUAACCUGCCUGGUAGCGGGGGAUAACUAUUGGAAACGAUAGCUAGUACCGCAUAAGAGUAGAUGUUGCAUGACAUUUACUUAAAAGGUGCAAUUGCAUCACUACCAGAUGGACCUGCGUUGUAUUAGCUAGUUGGUGGGGUAACGGCUUACCAAGGCGACGAUACAUAGCCGACCUGAGAGGGGGGUCGGCCAAACUGGGACUGAGACACGGCCCAGACUCCUACGGGAGGGAGCAGUAGGGAAUCUUCGGCAAUGGACGGAAGGCUUACCGAGCAACGCCGCGUGAGUGAAGAAGGGUUUCGGAUCGUAAAGCUCUGUUGUAAGAGAAGAACGAGUGUGAGAGUGGAAAGUUCACACUGUGACGGUAUCUUACCAGAAAGGGACGGCUAACUACGUG
Molecule: ribosomal RNA, 495 nt
Filed under: uncultured bacterium
Lineage: Bacteria
Description: partial 16S ribosomal RNA
Rfam family: Bacterial small subunit ribosomal RNA
Source: RNAcentral